CCAUCUGCAUCUCCAUCCCCAUCUCAUUUCAACUUUUUCUUAUCUUCCUUACCCUUUCCUUUUCCAACCUCUUCUACUCUUUCCAUUGAAGUAAAAAAUGUUGGCACGAUUUCUGGUUGUUCACAAUCUCGUUGGAGUUCGGAGUUGAUUUUGGGUUAUGUUGGAUUGGGGUUUUGGUGGUGACCGGUGGCGCUAAGGAAAAGUGGGGGUCUAUUGGGUGGUCUGAUUGUUUCUAGUUGUUCACAACUGGCGGCGUUGUGAAAGUCGAGACUUAUUGGCGGAGUUAGUUUGGGGUUUUUGUUGUUUUUGUUGUUGUUGUUGUUGGUUCUCAUUUAUAAUUGUUGGUUGAAGCUUGUCGGAAAUGGUGAGAACGAAGGUAGUUUGGUCGGAGAAGGUGAGGAGGACGAGAAGAAGGCAAUAAGUUUGGGUUUUGUUUGGAACUGAAACAAGGGGUC
This 455-nucleotide long non-coding RNA is filed under the name Solanum tuberosum (potato). RNAcentral's name for it is "long non-coding RNA (STUB_LNC005478)". The record is from RNAcentral. Lineage: Eukaryota; Viridiplantae; Streptophyta; Magnoliopsida; Solanales; Solanaceae.